UGGCAGAUCCUUGUGAGCAGUGCUUCAGUAAAAUCAAGAUUUUGGUAGAAGAUAUGUGACGAAACCACUCUCAGAGGAUUCUAAAGGAAUUCUGAAGUGAAAGAACUGAGCUGCUAACUACAGUGUGCAUUUUCUCAUGUAAAAAUUAUUUGGUAGAGAAGACUGGCAGUAAGUUAAUACGGCACAAAUUUUUAAACAGUGUUCCAGGAGAGUCUUGUAGGUAGCAUAAAGAUGGAUACUAAACAAUUGCUGGUACUCUGACUCAAAAAAAGACAUGGGGACAUGAAAUCACACUAUCAAGUUAAAGAGAAGAGAUACUUUACUACACGCAAUGCAAGGAUGACACAUAGACCUUUCCAAAGGAUGUCAGAGUUGAUAAAAUUUUGUAAUUAUUAAAUAUUUUUAAACAUAAUGGGAGAAAAUUCUAUAGUGAGUGUAACUGCUGGAUCACAUCCUGAACCUCCGGUUGACCACCUGCAGCAAGUAAUGAGGCAGCCCUGGGAGCACAGGUGAAAACAAUUCUCCUGUGCUAGAGGAAGGGAUGGAGACUGGCUCCACCUCUCCUACGCUCCAUUUAAUAGCUGACUACCACUAUGGAUGGUUCUCUUUUGGAGAUUGCUCCUCUUGUAGUCUUCUCAGUGGGCCCAGGACAAGGCCCCAUAUGUAAGUGGAAAUCUGCAGGAUCAUGGAACAGAAAGCAAAAAAGUAGAAAGGAGAAAAAGCAAAAUAUCUCUUUGAUGGAAAACUGAUACACCGCUUCUCAAAUGAACAGAGGGAAUUUCUCAAGUAAGAAGAGAGUGAUGCUCUGAGGUGUAAUGCUACAGGCAGAAGCUCAUUGGGUUUCCUCCCAAGUCCAAUGUAGAGCAUUCCCAGGAGAAGCAACUUCUACAGGGAAACUUUCAUAGUGCUUUCAGCACCACCAAGAGAAAUUGCAAUUGCAAGGAGAGAAUGGCUGAAACUGUGCAGGCAGGGAUUGCAGUGUGAAGGGCACAAAUGAAAUCUCAGAAGAAUCACCUAGCUAUGAAAUACUAGCAACUUUCUCUUGCUGACUGAUUUUUCAGAACUUUGCAGCAUGUCCAAAUUUUGGAAGAUUUAUUUGGGAAUGGAGUUGAGACAAACCUCCAAACCACAGAAGUUCUUUAGUUUCUCAGUGGAAGGGUUGUUUUAAAGUCAAAUUGUGAAAAGCAGAAUGUUGCCGGGAACCUUAGAGUUUUAAAUGGAAAAUGCUAGUCAACUCUGGUCAGUUCUGACUGCAUUAAUCUCUGCUGAAAUAGCUUGAUAGUUGUUUUCUUUUCUUUUACUAACGCUGCUUUAGCUUUCUUAUCAUGACAUUGAAGGGCUUUCAACAAGCGAAUUUGUUCAUUUGCACUUUUAUUAAAAAGCUAGUAAUUGCAGAUCAUGGAAAUUGCUGGCACUGUCCUUAGAGCACUGUAAAACAAUGUUGACUUAGCUUUAUCUACUCUGUGUACUUCUGCUUCAUUUGCAACUGGUGAGUUGUGGAGAACUGGAAGCAGUGAGUACCUUGUUGAGGGAGAAUAAAGUAAAAAGUCUUUGCGGUCUGGAUAUCAAGAGUUUCAUGGUUAUGGAUGAAUUUAUUUUGUAUGUGGUUGUACAAGCUCAGUGACUUCUGAAGAUUGUAGUGGUGAAGCCAGAUUAGAUGGCAACUAUAAAAAGGAGCAAAACAGGGUUUUCCGUAUUGAAUUUGGGAAACCAACAUCCCUAAAGUCAUUGAGAAAGCAGGCAUUUUCUUGUUUCAGGAGUCCUGCACAAGAAGCAAUCCUUGUCACUCUGUUCUGGUUUGAUCUCUAGCUAGUAGUUUCUGGGAUUCAGAUCAUCAUCAGCGAACUAAGUGCUGUGGCAGUUCACUCAGAGUCUAAGUAGUACACAACAUUUUUUAAGUUAGCAAAAAUUUCUGUGCUGAAUAUUUCUGUUCUUUUGCAACACAGAAUAACAGUCUUUCCAAAUAUACUUGAAACUUCACAGAGAACUUGCUAGUAGCGAGCUGAUUAUUGAAUUAAUUCUGUAAAACAUUUAUAUUUUGCACAAUUCUUUAAUUCUUUUCAAAUUGUAUAUUUUAAAACUUGCUUUAUAAUCCUAUUUAAUUCAUGUGGCCUCCUCCUUUCAUUAUUUUUAAUGUAAUUAAAUUCCAUGAGACUUUUUCAUAAAGAUUGUUGAGCUGUUUCCAGAAAAUUCAUUGUUAGUUGUACUUCAAACUGUCUGUUUUGUUCUAGUGUUAGAAAUCCCCUUCUCUACCAUUUCUACCUCCAUGCUAAGCCUAAGUACAUAUCUAUGCAUGAUGGAUGUUUUUGAUAAUUUGUUUUAAGCUGGUGGAAUAUUUAUAAAGACAAAGAAGAGGGGAAAAAAAAAAAAGUGGGUGCUGUGUGUUGGCAGAACACAGAUGCAGCUAAUAAGAAGUGACGCUAUUUAUGAGCACAGUGGGGUGUACUUUUUCUGGCUCCAGGUACAAACCAGCAGGAUUUCAAGUGCAUUCUCUCAUCACUUGUCCCAGUCCUGAUGCCUGCAAUGUGAGUGUAGUCAGGGAUGGAAGAGGAUGAAGAGGAUGUGGAGGAGCAGGACCACGUGUACACGGUGCCAAGCACAAGUGGAUGCUUCUUGUGAGACCCAGCAUCUUGGCUGCUUUGUACACCCAUAGGCAAGCCAAGACUUCAGUCUCUAUCAUUGGCUCAGUAACACAAAAAAGAGGAGCUGAAGUAGUGGAGUCAAGUUUUAAAUGAACUGAUGACUUUUAUGAAAGAAUACAAAUCACUUUAAAGCCUUUUCUGGAGUUCAAAAGUAGGCCAAGCUAUUUGUACUGACACUGCUGAUGUGUUUUCUUCCCUAAGUGAAGGUUUAUGUGAAGACAUCUGUUAGCUGGACCCAAGAUUUUGCUCAUGCAACCUGCCUGAAUUUUUUUUUUUUUUUUAAAAAAAAAAAGGAGGUGUAGGAAGAAGACAAGCUGGCAGAAUGGGAAUUAAGUAGAUUUCCUGACAUAAUAAGAGAAGGGCUUUUUACAACUUCAACUUGAUUUUCACAAUUUCAAGCUGUAGUAAAAUCUCUUUAAGCAAAGAACUGAUUUGCUGGAUUACUGACUGCUAGAAGUUGUUGGUUGCUGCUUUAGCACUUUCAGACAGACGUGGCUGCCAAUUGUAAAGAGAAAAAAAAAAAUCUUUUUCAGAUACUGUGAAAUAUUAAUGUGGAAUAUAAUCAAGAAACUUCUGCAAAAAUCUCAUGAUGGAAAUUCAGUGCAGCUGAAUGUUACCGUCCUGUGUCAAACUUUUCCUGAUAUGGAUUCACAGCUACAAUAUAUUUGUGUAACUAGUUAUCUGCAGCCCAUUCAUCAUCAUAUUUUGUCUACAACAUAAAAUGAUGAAAAAUGCAAUGACAGUAUGAAAACAGGAAGAAUUAUGUUUAUCUCUAGCUACUGUCAGCAUUGGAUUAUUUUUUCCACAUUCCAUAAGUGUGCUUUUACAAAGCACUUGUAAUUGCAGCUUUAACUGAGAAAAAAAAGUUGAUGAUAAAAAUUAGCACUUAUUAUAUACAUCAUUAAAAGUUACUAGUGUUAUCUUUUAUUAAGAGAGGAGGAAAAGUUGAGGUUAUGCAGUUGCUUCUGACCUGAGACUCCAGUGCUCUGGUCCAGAUAAUGCUCACCAGAGCGUUUAUUCAUUUGCUGUUAAGAUACAUGCAAAAGGAUUUGUCAUACAAAUUAACAAAUUAGCAGCAUUAUAUUUGCAUUGCAACAGCUCCAGUCAGUACAAGAUCAUCACACUAACAGUACAAACAAAUAUUUCUGACCUGCAGAGCUUAAAGUCUAAAUUCAGACUCAAUAAACAAAGAAAAUAAAUGGAAAGACUGGAGAAAAGGACGGGCAGGAAACAAUGAUAAGAACACUUAGUUGCAUAGGCCAUGUACAUGCAUAAUUGCAGCUCUAUUUAUAAGCUAGAACUAAACAUGAGAUAUUAAUGAGGUUAGUAAUCCCUGCUGGCCAGCUGCCUAGCCAUUAAAGGAACGAUGAUUUGUCUGGAAGGAGAAUAUUCCUACACCCUGCUGUGUUGCUGAGAAGGAUUGUAUAAAUGCCAAGGGGUUUAUUCAGUUUCUUAAUGCUGCUGGCCUUACCUUCUUGAGUCAGCUAUGCAAAGGCAGAAGUACUACCACUUAUGGCUAUAUAUUCCCUUCCAUCCUGUUUAAUACUGCGGUGAAAUUGGGCUUGAUCUCUUCAUGUCCCUUCCGACUCCUGCAAUUCUGUGGUUCUGUGGAAGUUCUUUCCCAUGCCAUUCUCUACAAGGAAACCGCUUGACAUGGUGGGGUAAAAGAACACUUGUAACACCAGAGAGAUUAAAAGUGGCCGCCUUUUUAAUGAUAGGGCUUUUUGUUUUAGUGGCAACAGGAUCUCUCAUAAUAUGCAGUUAUAUUACAAGGUAAUAAACGUGUUCUAGUAAUAAAAAACUUGAUCAAGA
Molecule: long non-coding RNA, 4454 nt
Organism: Tympanuchus pallidicinctus (lesser prairie-chicken)
Lineage: Eukaryota; Metazoa; Chordata; Aves; Galliformes; Phasianidae
Exons: 3
Source: RefSeq, a predicted model, not a curated record